RNAcentral lists this long non-coding RNA (1421 nucleotides) under Aquilegia coerulea. RNAcentral's name for it is "long non-coding RNA (ACOE_LNC001905)". Lineage: Eukaryota; Viridiplantae; Streptophyta; Magnoliopsida; Ranunculales; Ranunculaceae. The record is from RNAcentral.
GGUGGAACAGAUGUUUGGUCCCAUCCAGUGGAAGUUGGCUGGGUUGGAUAACCAGAAUAAGGGGGCUGAGACAUAUUAUACGGUGGUGGUGGUGCCCCAGGAUACGAUCCAGGCUGCAUAUAGCCAUAUCCAGGUUGCUGAGAGGAAGGUCCUGGUGGGCCCCAACUUGGGGGCUGAGGACGAAAACCUUGCUGAGAGUAGCCUCCGCCCAUUGCUGGAUUUCGAACACGAUUCUGCAAAUAUUUUUGCAAUCAUAUGAACCAUAAUCUAAAUGCCUAACAUUAGAGAUAUCUAUAUAUCAACAUGGGAAGGUAAAACAAAUAAAAUGAAUAUGGAAAGAGAUGCUCAAUUCUUUUGUGGAGGGGAUAUAUAUUUGAUAUGUAUCUUCACCUUCCACGUGUCACAUCAACAUAUGCAUCUAUGUGGGUUGGGCACAAGAAUCAAUGAAUCAUCCAACACUUUGGUCCAACUCCUUUUUGUUUAGCAAAACAUAGUACUUCUAAGCAGUAAGCAGUAAGUAAGCACCAUGGAGCACUCUCACAACAUAUGGGCAAGUUUAGGGGCAAGCAAUUAAUCAACAGAAAUCUGAGCUCAUUCACGAUAGGCACCUUCCGACCUAUAUCACUAUCGAUAUUGUCUCCACUUAAUCAUUGUGGUUAUUUAACAGUGUGGGGUUUUUAUAGACAACAGCCUACUUCCCAGGAGGUCGCCCAUCUUAAGAAUACUUCCACCCGAGCACGCUUAACUCUGAAUCUAUACAUAUAUUCCAAUUAGGGUUGUUAAACGAACCGAACAGCUCGAGCUCGGCUCGAGCUCGUGAGUAUAGCUAAACGAACCCUGGGGCUGAUUGUAACUGGAAGCUGGCGCCUGAUCAUAAAAUAAAGCUCGUCUAAAAUUUGGGUUCGGCUCGUUUAUAAACGAACCGAGCUUGAACAUACCAAAUCUCGGCUGAUUAUAGUAAUCAUAUCUACUACCCUGGUUGGUCUGCUGACUCGGUGGAACAGAUGUUUGGUCCCAUCCAGUGGAAGUUGGCUGGGUUGGAUAACCAGAAUAAGGGGGCUGAGACAUAUUAUACGGUGGUGGUGGUGCCCCAGGAUACGAUCCAGGCUGCAUAUAGCCAUAUCCAGGUUGCUGAGAGGAAGGUCCUGGUGGGCCCCAACUUGGGGGCUGAGGACGAAAACCUUGCUGAGAGUAGCCUCCGCCCAUUGCUGGAUUUCGAACACGAUUCUGCAAAUAUUUUUGCAAUCAUAUGAACCAUAAUCUAAAUGCCUAACAUUAGAGAUAUCUAUAUAUCAACAUGGGAAGGUAAAACAAAUAAAAUGAAUAUGGAAAGAGAUGCUCAAUUCUUUUGUGGAGGGGAUAUAUAUUUGAUAUGUAUCUUCACCUUCCACGUGUCACAUCAACAUAUGCAUCUAUGUGGG